GUGCUCGGCGCGGCCCUUCCCCCGGCCAUGGCGGCGAGGGCGGGCCGGCGCCCGGAAGGGGAGCCGCCGCCACCGCCCGCCUGACUUCCCCGGCUGUCGGGCGGGGAGGGAGCAGGGGCAGGAGGGCGCCAUGCUGCAGUUCUUGCUUGGUUUUACUCUUGGCAAUGUGGUUGGGAUGUAUAUUGCUCAGAACUAUGAUAUUCCUAACAUUGCGAAGAAGCUUGAAGAUUUUAAGAAGGAUGUGGAGGCUAAGAAGAAACCUCCCAGUGACAAGUCCUGAAAGAGCAGUGUUCCCCAGGUCACCUCUGUGUGUGCAUCAAGGAUGCAAUUUACCUUUCAGGCAACAAGGGUCAAGUAGAGGGUUGGCAUGGGAGGUUCCUCCACUCUUAGUCUCCUAGAACUGGAAUGUCCUUCUUUUGAGAGAGCAGCCGUGAACUUUACCUGGGACUGAUUUUCAAGGGUUUCAGAAUUUCGAUUUGCAGCUGAUGUGUGACUGGAUAAGUUUGUAUUUUUCAUUAUUUCUUUUCCUAAUAUUUUGUAACCCAUUUUUACCUGAUCCAACUGGAGUUGUUAGCCCUGUUACUGUGUGUACCUCACACUUUGUAGUGCCCUAGUCCUUAGAACAUCACAAAAGAAAUUAAAUGCAUCAAGAAGGAACUUUCAGGUUUCUUGUCGUUUGU
This 680-nucleotide long non-coding RNA is filed under the name Lepidothrix coronata (blue-crowned manakin). RNAcentral's name for it is "lncRNA (ENSLCOG00000010363.1)". Lineage: Eukaryota; Metazoa; Chordata; Aves; Passeriformes; Pipridae. The record is from RNAcentral.